Molecule: small nuclear RNA, 20 nt
Filed under: Arabidopsis thaliana (thale cress)
Lineage: Eukaryota; Viridiplantae; Streptophyta; Magnoliopsida; Brassicales; Brassicaceae
Description: snRNA_07055
Source: RNAcentral
GCGAACCGGGAAGAGCCCAG